This 497-nucleotide ribosomal RNA is filed under the name uncultured bacterium. RNAcentral describes it as "partial 16S ribosomal RNA". It matches the Rfam family "Bacterial small subunit ribosomal RNA", at positions 28 to 507 of the family's 1533-position model. The record is from RNAcentral.
GAUGAACGCUGGCGGCGUGCCUAAUACAUGCAAGUCGAGCGAACGGACGAUAAGCUUGCGUCUCUGAUGUUAGCGGCGGACGGGUGAGUAACACGUGUAUAACCUACCUAUAAGACUGGUAUAACUUCGGGAAACCGGAGCUAAUACCGGAUGAUAUUUUGAACCGCAUGGUGCAAAAGUGAAAGACGGUCGUGCGGUCACGUAUAGAUGGAUCUGCGCUGCAUUAGAUAGUUGGUAAGGUAACGGGUUACCAAGGCAACGAUGCAUAGCCGAACUGAUAGGGUGAUAGGCCACCCUGGAACUGGGACACGGUCCAGACUCCUACGGGAGGCAGCAGUAGGGAAUCUUCCGCAAAGGGCGAAAGCAUGACGGAGCAACGCCGCGUGAGUGAUGAAGGCCUUCGGAUCGUAAAAACCUGUUAUUAGGGAAGAACAUAUGUGUAAGUAACUGUGCACAUCUUGACGGUAAUUAAUCAGAAAGCAACGGCUAACUACGUG